RNAcentral lists this transfer RNA (67 nucleotides) under Phytophthora ramorum (sudden oak death agent). Its description in RNAcentral is "tRNA-Phe for anticodon AAA". It matches the Rfam family "tRNA". From Rfam's summary of the family: Transfer RNA (tRNA) molecules are approximately 80 nucleotides in length. RNAcentral also lists the same sequence under 1 other name. The record is from RNAcentral. Lineage: Eukaryota; Oomycota; Peronosporomycetes; Peronosporales; Peronosporaceae.
ACCUUAGUAGCUCAGUGGUAGAGCCCCCGAAAGGGAUGGUCGUUGGGUCCGAUUCCCACCUAAGGUA